This is a long non-coding RNA of Vigna radiata var. radiata (mung bean), 2496 nucleotides long. RefSeq lists it as uncharacterized. Lineage: Eukaryota; Viridiplantae; Streptophyta; Magnoliopsida; Fabales; Fabaceae. The record is from RefSeq and is a predicted model, not a curated record. The transcript has 5 exons.
UUCUUUGUCUUUGUUCUGCUUUCAUUUGAAUCAUUUUCACUUUUGGCACAAUUUCAUUUUCGAAGAUCCAGUGUUGUGGCUCUGCUAGGGUUUGGCACAAUUUCAUUCUCGAAUAUCCAGUGUUGUGGCUCUGCUAGGGUUGGAGCUGAGAACGCAAGAAGUGGAAGAGCAAGUGUUCGUUGUGUGCUAGUGUUGGAGCUGAUAGAGAACGUCGUGCAAUCGUUCUGAGAAGCCGGAAGCUGAGGAAUGCGUGGCGCGGUUGCGAAAUUCGAAGUAUGAUCAUUCGGAUUAUCUGAGAAAAAAACUCUCGGCGCUUGAUCUGAGAAAUCCCAGAGCUUACAAAGACACGAGAAGAGGGUUAGCAGUUUGCAUUUCAGCUUGUGAUGAUGAUGGAAAUGCAGCAGAUACAUCGGUUCCUGGAAAUGAAAACCCUUCUGUUUUGAUUUCUUUUGCGUCAAAGACACUUAAUGCUGGUCAGGUCACAUCCAAGUUGCAUGUUAUAGAACUGGGUGCUCAGCCAAGUCUGCAUAUUUUUCAGCUCCUUCAUGAUUUAUCUCUUAUUGUAAUUAUUUUGGGCAAUAUAUGUUUUGUUGUCAAAACUGUCAUGUGUGCUGUAUUGAUUCUAUCAUGCCUUGAUGAAUUUUAAUGUCCAUUGUAGAGUUGAAUUUGAAAUUGGUUAUUUUCAAUAAUGUGUGUCUUGUAACUGUUAAAUGUUACUUAGAGCAUGGUUUGAGUAUUGCGUUCCAGGUGUUACCAUGUGUUUAAUCGCUAGACAAAGUUGAUUAUGCAUUUGUAAUUGUAUUGAAUUUAUGUUGAGUUUGUCAAUUGUAAUUAUAAGGACAUGUUGAAAGUGGGAGGUGGAUGAAUCAGGAAAUAUUCAUUACAUGUGAAUGAUUUUAGUGGCUAAUUUUCAUAGCAGUAUAUUGAAACCAGUCAGUAUUUUUUAAAACGGAUAAGGGUAUUAAGAAAUUGAACCAUGUGCAUCAAUUGAUCAUCCUUAUUGAGCCCGGAUUCAUGUGUCUCCUUACCUAAUGGCUUAAGCUUUUUAAAUAUUUUUCAGAACCUGUGUAAUAAAAUUUUUGCGUUCUUUCCUUUCUGUUCCUAUUCUACUAAGAAAAAGUUGGACAUGAGCACAGGACAGGGUGUCGUCUUCAUUAUCCAUGCUUCAAGCCCAAAAGAUUCUAGCACAAGGGGCAUGUUGGAAAUGCAAUAUGAAAUCACUCAAGCAAUCUUCCCUUCACCUAACAAUCUAAUAUUUUUAUAUAGUUGGUCCAUGACAAAAUUUAUGAAUUUGUUUAUAAGGAGGCCGUCAUUUACGAAGAAACAAGCAGAUCUUUUCUUCCCCCCUGAUUUUGGUGAUGAUUUUCCAGUUGCCAUGUAGGUACAGAAGUUACUAGUACUUGUGCAUUUUAUAAACAAUGUAGAUAUUUGAUCCCUACUUUGUUUUUUUGGCAGAUAUCUGAGAAAUACAAUUUGAUUUAUGUGAUUACGAAACUUGAGCUACUAUUUCUCUAUGAUUUGAAGGUCACCUGCUUGUUGUGUUAUUGCUCAGAAGGGGACAAUGUAUCUCAUGCUUUUCAAUUAGCCGAUGCAACAUAUAAACUAGUACAUAUGCUUUGUCACUUUAAUGUGGAUUUUCAAAAUUAUUAUUUUCUAAACCCUUUGUCCCUCAUCCCACUACUGAGAGUAUUAUCAUUUUUUUGGGUCUGCUGAAUUUCUUGGAUUAGAAAAUCUUUGUCGCGUGUAUUUUCAUGGAUAUCUUAUUUUAAGAUACAAAUAUCUCAGUAUUUCUCCUAUCAACCACAUCUCUCAUUUUUCGCAUGUUAAAGAUUUAAUUGUGAAAAAUGAAUAAACAUAUUUCUGCAAGUAAAAAAACGUUAGAGUUGGUUUCUAAUAUUUCGUGCAAUGCCUUUCCGGGAAUUGAAAGUAGCACAUGGCGAGUGCCACUUUCUUGGAUGACUGUGUAUGGACCACCCCCAGAUGUGUCCAUCUUCUAAGAUAUGUUGUUGAGAGAAUGGAUGGUGAUCUGUGGGCCAAAGUUCUUCAUCCUGAUAAUGACCAUAGAAGGCAACUUAUUGAUGAAGUUGUAUCCACUGCUUUGGCAGAAAGCUCAAGCCCUGAGCAAAGCUGUUAAGGCUUUCAUGACAGCUGAUCUGCCUCAUGAACUGAUUGAACUUGUUGAGAAGAUCGUCGUUCAGAAUUUUGCAUUCAUUGGGAACUUUAAUUUGCAGAAUCUUCUUAUUUUGAUAGCGAUAAAGGCCAACCCAUCCAGAGUUGUGGAUAAUGUCAAUAGGUUAGAUAAUUUUGAUGGACAACAACCCUGGAAAGAAUUGACCUAUUUGUAUAUACAAUAUGAAUAGUUUCAUAACGAUGGAACUACCAUGAUGAACCAUUCAGCUGAAGCAUGGGAUCACAUGCAAUUCAAAUAUUUUGUUGUUAAAGUUGCUAACGUGGAAUUGUAUUAUAAGGCUUUAAAUUCUUAAUUCUUACUUCCAU